UAUGAUAUUCCGAUUAGCCUGUUUUACAAACAAUAUCAUGAACCCUUGCAUUUUACAUGUAAUGUGUUUAAAAUUAAUUUCCCAGGGCGAUAUCUUAUUUUGUCUCACCUAUACUAAUAAGGUUCAUGAAACAUUGAUAUUACUUAAUAUCACAAUGCAGAGAGGAAGCCAUUUCUCUGCUUUUAAUUGAAGCUCAGCUUCGGUUUCCAUGGCCACCAUGAGGAUGUCCAGGUGUAUAGAGUUCUUGAUGACGUCUCCGAAGAGGACAGUGAGAUGCUGACCUUGGUUUGUUAAACACUCAGCAUUCCAUACCAUGUGAUACUAAUAACCUAUGUAACAAAGGAACAAUUUUUCUGACCAUUUGCUACACUUCAAGUCCUCUGCACAGCAAUUAUGGAAUUUAGUCUUUAUAUUAACCUGGAAGCUUGGUAUCACCAUCAGUACCAUUACAUGGGAGGAAAAAUGAGUUUCAAAAUUAUUUUCUUUCCUUUAAAAACGACUUAAAAGUUUUAUUUCUUUAUAUGUAUGGGCUUUUUCCCCCUUGCAUGUAUGUCUGUGUACCGUGUGCACUGCAGUACCCAUAGAGGCCAGAAGAGGGCACCGAAUCAGCUGCCCCUGGAGUUUCAGAUGGCUUUGUGCCAAUGUGUAGAUAGAUGCUAGGAAUUAAACUUGGGUCCUCUGGAAGAGCAGCCAGUGCUCCUAACCUUUGAUCCAUCUCUCCAUUCCCAGGGGCUGCUUUCCACUCAAGUCAACUGUUACAUGGGACAGUGUCAAUCCAGCACUGUUGGGAAAUCCUCCCCCUACUCCCACCAUUUGUGUGUGUGGUAAGGGUCUGAAAGUCACUGAAGGAAGACUCCAGGCACAGAUAGUACACAGAGACAAAGAGCAUUUAUUCUGCACAAACAACCAGCAUGCAGGGGUCAGCCAUUCAAAAUGGCAUUCCCAGACAAAGGUGCAAAGGCCUUCUUAUAGGGAACGAACUGGGGGAACUCUCGAGGUGAUCAGCGGUCUCCAUUCCUAUGUCAUGAGAGUUCCAUCAUGUGAUGAGGUAGGGCUGCUCAGCACAGAUGGCCCAUUCUGAGAUAAGAUAGUUCCUAAUUUUUGUGGUCAUCCCCAGGCUGUUCUUUGGGAGGGGGUCUUACGACCUUGUUUCUGGAUUUUACGGUCUGUUCCUCGAGUUGGUGCCUAUGGCCAAUUCCUGGGACUUAUGGUCUGUUCCUGGAGCUGGUACCUUAUGGCUUUCUUUUUGAAAUUUGGCCUGGUCCUUAAACGGAGACCAAUGAGGGUUUAUGUUGUCCUUUCAGUGUGUGUGUGUGUGUGUGUGUGUGUGUGCACUCGUGUGCAGCACAAAGGAGAAUUCCCAGUGUCUGCCUCUCUCACUUUGCAUCUCAUUCCUUUGUUGCAGGAUCUUUCACUGAACGUGGAGCCAGACUGGACACCAGCAAGCCCCAGAGACCCUCCUGUCUCCACUCCUUGAAAUGCUAGGGUCACAGGUGUGCAACGGCCAUAUUUGGCUUUUUAUGUGCACUCUGAGGACUUGAACUGAGGUCCUCACAGUAGCUCAGCAAGUGGUCUUACUGUCUCAGCCAUUUCUCCAGCCCCACGUUGUCAGAGUUUUAAAGAGAAGCUGGCAACUCAAGCUUUUUAUGUGAAAUAACUGUUUAAAAAAAAAAUAGUAGCAACUAAAUAAAAUUAAAAGUGACCAC
RNAcentral lists this long non-coding RNA (1706 nucleotides) under Mus musculus (house mouse). RNAcentral's name for it is "long non-coding RNA chr2:169034916-169036622". The record is from RNAcentral. Lineage: Eukaryota; Metazoa; Chordata; Mammalia; Rodentia; Muridae.